RNAcentral lists this ribosomal RNA (486 nucleotides) under uncultured bacterium. RNAcentral's name for it is "partial 16S ribosomal RNA". It matches the Rfam family "Bacterial small subunit ribosomal RNA", at positions 30 to 507 of the family's 1533-position model. The record is from RNAcentral.
AUUGAACGCUGGCGGCAUGCCUUACACAUGCAAGUCGAACGGCAGCACGGGUGCUUGCACCUGGUGGCGAGUGGCGAACGGGUGAGUAAUACAUCGGAACAUGUCCUGUAGUGGGGGAUAGCCCGGCGAAAGCCGGAUUAAUACCGCAUACGAUCCACGGAUGAAAGCGGGGGACCUUCGGGCCUCGCGCUUUCGGGUUGGCCGAUGGCUGAUUAGCUAGUUGGUGGGGUAAAGGCCUACCAAGGCGACGAUCAGUAGCUGGUCUGAGAGGACGACCAGCCACACUGGGACUGAGACACGGCCCAGACUCCUACGGGAGGCAGCAGUGGGGAAUUUUGGACAAUGGGCGAAAGCCUGAUCCAGCAAUGCCGCGUGUGUGAAGAAGGCCUUCGGGUUGUAAAGCACUUUUGUCCGGAAAGAAAUCCUUGACUCUAAUACAGUCGGGGGAUGACGGUACCGGAAGAAUAAGCACCGGCUAACUACGUG